This 399-nucleotide ribosomal RNA is filed under the name Malaciobacter mytili LMG 24559. RNAcentral's name for it is "bacterial SSU rRNA". It matches the Rfam family "Bacterial small subunit ribosomal RNA", at positions 675 to 1069 of the family's 1533-position model. Lineage: Bacteria; Pseudomonadati; Campylobacterota; Epsilonproteobacteria; Campylobacterales; Arcobacteraceae. The record is from RNAcentral.
GUAGGGGUAAAAUCCGUAGAGAUCAGAAGGAAUACCGAUUGCGAAGGCGAUCUACUGGAACAUAACUGACGCUGAGACGCGAAAGCGUGGGGAGCAAACAGGAUUAGAUACCCUGGUAGUCCACGCCCUAAACGAUGUACACUAGUUGUUGCCAUACUAGAUAUGGCAGUAAUGCAGUUAACACAUUAAGUGUACCGCCUGGGGAGUACGGUCGCAAGAUUAAAACUCAAAGGAAUAGACGGGGACCCGCACAAGCGGUGGAGCAUGUGGUUUAAUUCGACGAUACGCGAAGAACCUUACCUGGUCUUGACAUAGUAAGAAUAUUUUAGAGAUAGAAUAGUGCUAGCUUGCUAGAACUUACAUACAGGUGCUGCACGGCUGUCGUCAGCUCGUGUCGUG